AGAGUUUGAUCAUGGCUCAGAUUGAACGCUGGCGGCAUGCUUAAUACAUGCAAGUCGAACGGUAACAGAUUCUUCGGAAUGCUGACGAGUGGCGGACGGGUGAGUAAUACAUAGGAAUCUGCCCAUGUAGUGGGGGACAACUUGGGGAAACUCAAGCUAAUACCGCAUAAUUCCUACGGGAUAAAGAGGGCCACUGCUUGCAAGCUCUUGCUACUGGAUGAGCCUAUGUCGGAUUAGUUAGUUGGUAAGGUAAUGGCUUACCAAGACAGCGAUCCGUAGCUGGUUUGAGAGGAUGAUCAGCCACACUGGGACUGAGACACGGCCCAGACUCCUACGGGAGGCAGCAGUAGGGAGUAUUGGACAAUGGGCGCAAGCCUGAUCCAGCAAUGCCGCGUGUGUGAAGAAGGCCUGCGGGUUGUAAAGCACUUUCAAUUGGGAAGAAAGAUUAUGAGUUAAUACCUUAUAAUA
This 468-nucleotide ribosomal RNA is filed under the name uncultured bacterium. Its description in RNAcentral is "bacterial SSU rRNA". It matches the Rfam family "Bacterial small subunit ribosomal RNA", at positions 8 to 469 of the family's 1533-position model. The record is from RNAcentral.